RNAcentral lists this ribosomal RNA (480 nucleotides) under uncultured Holophagae bacterium. RNAcentral's name for it is "bacterial SSU rRNA". It matches the Rfam family "Bacterial small subunit ribosomal RNA", at positions 901 to 1382 of the family's 1533-position model. Lineage: Bacteria; Pseudomonadati; Acidobacteriota; Holophagae. The record is from RNAcentral.
UUAAAGGAAGUUGACGGGGCCGCACAAGCGGAGGAACAUGUGGUUAAUUCGAUGAUACGCGAGGAACCUUACCUGGGCUUAAAUGUAGAGUGCAUUUUUAGAGAUAGAAAUCCCUUCGGGGCUUUCUGCAAGGUGCUGCAUGGUUGUCGUCAGCUCGUGCCGUGAGGUGUUGGGUUAAGUCCCGCAACGAGCGCAACCCCUGCCCUUAGUUGCCAUCGGGUCACGCCGGGAACUCUAAGGGGGACCGCCCCGGGACAACGGGGGAGGAAGGUGGGGAUGACGUCAAGUCAGCAUGGCCUUUAUGUCCAGGGCUACACACGUGCUACAAUGGUUGGUACAAAGGGUUGCCAAGCCGUGAGGCGGAGCCAAUCUCAAAAAGCCAACCUCAGUUCGGAUUGCAGUCUGCAACUCGACUGCAUGAAGUUGGAAUCGCUAGUAAUCGCUGAUCAGCAGGCAGCGGUGAAUACGUUCCCGGGCCUU